UACGGAAGGGGCAAGCGUUUUUCGGAAUCAUUGGGCGUAAAGGGCGCGUAGGUUGUUUUGUGUGUCCGCCGUGAAAGCGUACAGCUCAACUGUAUCAGGUCGGUGGAAACUGCAAAACUUGAGGCUGGGGGGGGCUGGUGGAAUUCCCUGUGUAGCGGUGAAAUGCGUAGAGAUGGGGGAGAACACUCGUGGCGAAGGCGGCCAGCUGGACCAGUCCUGACACUGAGGCGCGACAGCGUGGGGAGCAAACAGG
This 253-nucleotide ribosomal RNA is filed under the name uncultured bacterium. RNAcentral describes it as "partial 16S ribosomal RNA". It matches the Rfam family "Bacterial small subunit ribosomal RNA", at positions 524 to 776 of the family's 1533-position model. The record is from RNAcentral.